GAUGGCCAUUUUUGAAAACCCUUCUCUAGCCAAAUUUUCACCCAAAGUGCUUGAAAAUAUUAUACCCUUUUUGAACCUUAGCCUUAAAUAGGAUGUGAACCCUUGUCUUGACACUCUUUACCUUGAGUUAGGAUGAGCUUAAUUGUAUGUGAUGAAAAGGUUCAAGUUUGGGGUUGCAUGGGGGAAACUGAAAGGCAAUUGAAAAAGCAUUGAGCUCAAAUUUUGUAAAAGAAAAAUACAUGAGAAAAAGAAAAGAAAAGAAGAAAAGCAUGAAGAUGGGAUCAAUGCAAAGAAAAGGGAAAAAGUUGGGAAUAAGUGAGAUUGGUGAGGAAGAGAGUUAUGCUUAAAUGUUGAAUACUAUGAUAGCUCUCUUAACUCAAGGAUUUUGCAUUCCAGAAAAACCAAUUCGUCUUGUUAGCCCAGCCUCAUUACAAGCAUUGGAAAAGUCCUUUUGAUGGCAUUUGCAUGUAAGGAUUUUGGUUGUUUUAGAUGAAUGGCAAUUUUGUUUCAUGUGACUUGUGAAUAAUAGAGUGUUGGAAUGUUACCCUAAAACACU
This 556-nucleotide long non-coding RNA is filed under the name Vigna radiata. RNAcentral describes it as "long non-coding RNA (VRAD_LNC012740)". The record is from RNAcentral. Lineage: Eukaryota; Viridiplantae; Streptophyta; Magnoliopsida; Fabales; Fabaceae.